RNAcentral lists this ribosomal RNA (422 nucleotides) under uncultured bacterium. RNAcentral describes it as "partial 16S ribosomal RNA". It matches the Rfam family "Bacterial small subunit ribosomal RNA", at positions 361 to 776 of the family's 1533-position model. The record is from RNAcentral.
AUAUUUUACAAUGGGCGCAAGCCUGAUCCAGAUAUGCCGCGUGUGUGAAGAAGGUNUUNNGAUUGNANAGCAAUUUAUCUUGGNNNNNAAGGCAGAUAACGAAUACUUAACUGAUUUUACGUUACCAGAAGAAUAUGAACCGGCUAACUUCGUGCCAGUAGCCGCGGUAAUACGAAGGGUGCAAGCGUUAAUCGGAAUUAAUGGGCGUAAAGCGCGCGUAGGUGGUUCGUUAAGUUGGAAGUGAAAGCCCCGGGCUCAACCUGGGAAUUGCUUUCAAAACUGGCGAGCUAGAGUACGGUAGAGGGUGGUGGAAUUUCCUGUGUAGCGGUGAAAUGCGUAGAUAUAGGAAGGAACAUCAGUGGCGAAGGCGACCACCUGACUGAUACUGACACUGAGGUGCGAAAGCGUGGGGAGCAAACAGG